CACCCUACAGCAAAGCAGGCUGUCAUCACAGCAAUUGAUUUAUUAGGCAGUUAUAAAUGCAGCUGAAAGUGGUAUAUCGUUCCCACUGAAAAGAAGAGACCAGUUACUUGACUAUAUAUUAACGUUAAUGGGCACAGAUGAGGAAGAUGGAUUUUCUGAAUCCAACAUUGAGCAUCUGCGCACUCAGUCGCUUGCUUUAAGUGCCUGCACUACUCUGGUUUCCGUAGAGCCAAAAUUGACUACUGAAACAAGAAACCUUGUUAUGAAGGCCACUAUUGGAUUUUUCGGUUUGCCGAAUGAGCCUGCUGAUGUUAUUGACCCCCUUAUUGGCAACCUGAUUACUCUUUUAUGUACAAUACUUAUUACAAGUGGAGAGGAUGGAAG
Molecule: unclassified non-coding RNA, 384 nt
Filed under: Hevea brasiliensis (rubber tree)
Lineage: Eukaryota; Viridiplantae; Streptophyta; Magnoliopsida; Malpighiales; Euphorbiaceae
Source: RNAcentral